UCCCGUGUGGCUCAGUUGGUAGAGCAUGGCACUUGCAACGCCAGUGUUGUGGGUUCAAUUCCCACGGGGGAU
Salmo salar (Atlantic salmon) is the source of this 72-nucleotide non-coding RNA. NCBI's taxonomy places the organism in Eukaryota, Metazoa, Chordata, Actinopteri, Salmoniformes, Salmonidae. The record is from Rfam.